Molecule: ribosomal RNA, 449 nt
Filed under: Bacillus amyloliquefaciens
Lineage: Bacteria; Bacillati; Bacillota; Bacilli; Caryophanales; Bacillaceae
Description: bacterial SSU rRNA
Rfam family: Bacterial small subunit ribosomal RNA
Source: RNAcentral
GCUCUGUUGUUAGGGAAGAACAAGUGCCGUUCAAAUAGGGCGGCACCUUGACGGUACCUAACCAGAAAGCCACGGCUAACUACGUGCCAGCAGCCGCGGUAAUACGUAGGUGGCAAGCGUUGUCCGGAAUUAUUGGGCGUAAAGGGCUCGCAGGCGGUUUCUUAAGUCUGAUGUGAAAGCCCCCGGCUCAACCGGGGAGGGUCAUUGGAAACUGGGGAACUUGAGUGCAGAAGAGGAGAGUGGAAUUCCACGUGUAGCGGUGAAAUGCGUAGAGAUGUGGAGGAACACCAGUGGCGAAGGCGACUCUCUGGUCUGUAACUGACGCUGAGGAGCGAAAGCGUGGGGAGCGAACAGGAUUAGAUACCCUGGUAGUCCACGCCGUAAACGAUGAGUGCUAAGUGUUAGGGGGUUUCCGCCCCUUAGUGCUGCAGCUAACGCAUUAAGCACUC